AACGAACGCUGGCGGCAUGCCUAACACAUGCAAGUCGAACGAGACCUUCGGGUCUAGUGGCGCACGGGUGCGUAACGCGUGGGAACCUGCCCUUAGGUUCGGAAUAACUCCCCGAAAGGGGUGCUAAUACCGGAUAAUGUCUUCGGACCAAAGAUUUAUCGCCUUUGGGUGGGCCCGCGUUGGAUUAGCUAGUUGGUAGGGUAAAAGCCUACCAAGGCGACGAUCCAUAGCUGGUCUGAGAGGAUGAUCAGCCACACUGGGACUGGGACACGGCCCAGACUCCUACGGGAGGCAGCAGUGGGGAAUAUUGGACAAUGGGCGAAAGGCUGAUCCAGCAAUGCCGCGUGAGUGAUGAAGGCCUUAGGGUUGUAAAGCUCCUUUACCCGGGAUGAUAAUGACAGUACCGGGAGAAUAAGCUCCGGCUAACUCCGUG
RNAcentral lists this ribosomal RNA (433 nucleotides) under uncultured bacterium. Its description in RNAcentral is "partial 16S ribosomal RNA". It matches the Rfam family "Bacterial small subunit ribosomal RNA", at positions 29 to 507 of the family's 1533-position model. The record is from RNAcentral.